UACGGAGGGUGCAAGCGUUAAUCGGAAUUACUGGGCGUAAAUCGCACGCAGGCGGUCUGUCAAGGCGGAUGUGGAAUCCCCGGGCUCAACCUGUGAACUGCAUCCGAAACUGGCAGGCUAGAGUCUUGUAGAGGGGGGUAGAAUUCCAGGUGUAGCGGUGGAAUGCGUAGAGAUCUGGAGGAAUACCGGUGGCGAAGGCGGCCCGCUGGACAAAGACUGACGCUCAGGCGCGAAAGCGUGGGUAGCAAACAGG
Molecule: unclassified non-coding RNA, 253 nt
Filed under: uncultured Enterobacteriaceae bacterium
Lineage: Bacteria; Pseudomonadati; Pseudomonadota; Gammaproteobacteria; Enterobacterales; Enterobacteriaceae
Description: contains 16S-23S intergenic spacer region
Rfam family: Bacterial small subunit ribosomal RNA
Source: RNAcentral